Molecule: ribosomal RNA, 253 nt
Filed under: uncultured bacterium
Lineage: Bacteria
Description: partial 16S ribosomal RNA
Rfam family: Bacterial small subunit ribosomal RNA
Source: RNAcentral
GACAGAGGGUGCAAACGUUGUUCGGAAUUACUGGGCGUAAAGCGCGUGUAGGCGGUCGGGCAAGUCGGGUGUGAAAGCCCAGGGCUCAACCCUGGAAGUGCAUUCGAUACUGCCUGGCUAGAGUCCCGGAGAGGAUGGUGGAACUCUCGGUGUAGAGGUGAAAUUCGUAGAUAUCAGGAGGAACACCGGUGGCGAAAGCGGCUUCCUGGCCCGACACUGACGCUCAUGUACGAAAGCGUGGGGAGCAAACAGG